GGCGGCAGGCCUAACACAUGCAAGUCGAGCGCUACCUUCGGGUGGAGCGGCGGACGGGUUAGUAACGCGUGGGAACGUACCCAGAUCUAAGGAAUAGCCACUGGAAACGGUGAGUAAUACCUUAUACGCCCUUCGGGGGAAAGAUUUAUCGGAUUUGGAUCGGCCCGCGUUAGAUUAGAUAGUUGGUGGGGUAAUGGCCUACCAAGUCUACGAUCUAUAGCUGGUUUUAGAGGAUGAUCAGCAACACUGGGACUGAGACACGGCCCAGACUCCUACGGGAGGCAGCAGUGGGGAAUCUUGGACAAUGGGCGCAAGCCUGAUCCAGCCAUGCCGCGUGAGUGAUGAAGGCCUUAGGGUCGUAAAGCUCUUUCGCCAGAGAUGAUAAUGACAGUAUCUGGUAAAGAAACCCCGGCUAACUCCGUGCCAGCAGCCGCGGUAAUACGGAGGGGGUUAGCGUUGUUCGGAAUUACUGGGCGUAAAGCGUACGUAGGCGGAUUAGUCAGUCAGAGGUGAAAUCCCAGGGCUCAACCCUGGAACUGCCUUUGAUACUGCUAGUCUUGAGUUCGAGAGAGGUGAGUGGAAUUCCAAGUGUAGAGGUGAAAUUCGUAGAUAUUUGGAGGAACACCAGUGGCGAAGGCGGCUCACUGGCUCGAUACUGACGCUGAGGUACGAAAGUGUGGGGAGCAAACAGGAUUAGAUACCCUGGUAGUCCACACCGUAAACGAUGAAUGCCAGUCGUCGGGCAGUAUACUGUUCGGUGACACACCUAACGGAUUAAGCAUCCGC
Molecule: ribosomal RNA, 786 nt
Filed under: uncultured Lentibacter sp.
Lineage: Bacteria; Pseudomonadati; Pseudomonadota; Alphaproteobacteria; Rhodobacterales; Roseobacteraceae
Description: bacterial SSU rRNA
Rfam family: Bacterial small subunit ribosomal RNA
Source: RNAcentral